This 471-nucleotide ribosomal RNA is filed under the name uncultured bacterium. Its description in RNAcentral is "bacterial SSU rRNA". It matches the Rfam family "Bacterial small subunit ribosomal RNA", at positions 8 to 526 of the family's 1533-position model. The record is from RNAcentral.
AGAGUUCGAUCAUGGCUCAGGAUGAACGCUGGCGGCGUGCUUAACACAUGCAAGUCGAACGAACCUUCGGGUUAGUGGCGGACGGGUGAGUAACGCGUGAGAAUCUGCCCUCAGGAGGGGGAUAACGGUUGGAAACGACCGCUAAUACCCCAUAUGCCUACUGGUGAAAUGAAUUUCGCCUGAGGAUGAGCUCGCGUCUGAUUAGCUAGUUGGUGAGGUAAUGGCUCACCAAGGCUUCGAUCAGUAGCUGGUCUGAGAGGAUGAUCAGCCACACUGGGACUGAGACACGGCCCAGACUCCUACGGGAGGCAGCAGUGGGGAAUUUUCCGCAAUGGGCGAAAGCCUGACGGAGCAACGCCGCGUGAGGGACGAAGGCCUCUGGGCUGUAAACCUCUUUUCUCAAGGAAGAAGAUAUGACGGUACUUGAGGAAUAAGCCACGGCUAAUUCCGUGCCAGCCGCCGCGGUAAUAC